CCCUUAGAUGUUCUGGGCCACACACGCGCUACACUGAAGGAGGCAGCGUGUACUCCUGGAUCGAAAGAUUUGGGUAACCCGCGAAUCUCCUUCGUGCUAGGGAUUGAGGUUUGCAAUUAUCCUUCAUGAACGAGGAAUUCCCAGUAAGUGCAAGUCAUAAGCUUGCGCUGACUACGUCCCUGCCCUUUGUACACACCGCCCGUCGCUACUACCGAUUGAAUGAUUUAGUGAGGACUUCGGACUGGGACCAAUGCGGCUUUCGGGCUGCGUCGGUAUUCUGGAAAGAUGUCCAAACUGUAUCAUUUAGAGGAAGUAAAAGUCGUANCA
This 327-nucleotide ribosomal RNA is filed under the name uncultured eukaryote. RNAcentral describes it as "partial 18S ribosomal RNA". It matches the Rfam family "Eukaryotic small subunit ribosomal RNA", at positions 1470 to 1796 of the family's 1831-position model. The record is from RNAcentral.